AUACGGAGGGUGCAAGCGUUAUCCGGAAUCACUGGGUUUAAAGGGUGCGUAGGCGGUUAUGUAAGUCAGGGGUGAAAGGUCACAGCUUAACUGUGAGAUUGCCUUUGAAACUGUGUAACUUGAAUCAGAUAGAGGUUAGUGGAAUGCGACAUGUAGCGGUGAAAUGCAUAGAUAUGUCGUGGAAUACCGAUUGCGAAGGCAGCUAACUGGGUCUUGAUUGACGCUGAGGCACGAAAGCGUGGGGAGCGAACAGGAUUAGAUACCCUGGUAGUCCACGCCCUAAACGAUGUUAACUCGAUGUUUGAUCUGUAGGAUUGAGCGUUUAAGGGAAACCGAUAAGUUAACCACCUGGGGAGUACGUUCGCAAGAAUGAA
RNAcentral lists this ribosomal RNA (374 nucleotides) under uncultured bacterium. RNAcentral describes it as "bacterial SSU rRNA". It matches the Rfam family "Bacterial small subunit ribosomal RNA", at positions 523 to 898 of the family's 1533-position model. The record is from RNAcentral.